UAAGGAGGGCGCUAGCGAUACUCGGAAUUACUGGGCGUAAAGCGCACGUAGGCGGAUUAGUAAGUCAGAGGUGAAAUCCCGGGGCUCAACCUCGGAACUGCAUUUGAUACUGCUGGGCUCGAGUGCGGAAGAGGUGAGUGGAAUUCCUAGUGUAGAGGUGAAAUUCGUAGAGAUUAGGAAGAACAUCAGUGGCGAAGGCGGCUCACUGGUCCAGUACUGACGCUGAGGUGCGAAAGAGUGGGGAGCAAACAGG
Molecule: ribosomal RNA, 253 nt
Filed under: uncultured bacterium
Lineage: Bacteria
Description: partial 16S ribosomal RNA
Rfam family: Bacterial small subunit ribosomal RNA
Source: RNAcentral